CUUCCAUUGUUACAUACUUAAUGAUGCUUUAUUCUUGUUGCAUAAUUGAAGGAGAUUACAGUUUAAAAGUAAUAUUUAAAAAUGGAUUAUCUAAAUGUAUACUGCCUAUUAUGUUGGCUCAGUACAUUGUGUGUAUAGGUAGUAAAGCAUUUUAGGGAUUAAGUCGUAAUUAAUUUUUUAUCACUUUAAUUUCUUAUGUGACUUCUUAUGCUCCUUUGCCUGCAUAUUCUCUAACAGGAAUUUUCUGAAGAUACCUGAACAUUUUUAUCCAGCUGCUAAGAAAUAUCUCUUGGUACAACUCAUAUAGAACCAACCCAGAUGAGGACAUGGACAGAAAUGUCAGGAGUAUAACAUGGAAGGUGUUCCAGAUGUGGACAUUCUCAUUUCCUGUUCAAGAAAAGACAAUUUGAUAGGAAUGAAGAGGGCAUACUCUGUAACAGGUAUGGCAAACUUUUCCUGUAACAGGUCAGAUAGUAAAGGUUUGCCUUUUGAGCCAUGUGAUCUUUGUUGUUACUACUCAAGUUGGUAGCAAAGGCAAAGACAGUGUGUAAAAGAAUGAGUGGGCUGCAUUCCAGUAACCUUUAUUUAUGGGCACUGAAAUUUGAACUUCAUGUGAUUUUCACUUGGGAUGAAAUUCUUCUUCCUUUAGUGUUUUUCAACUAUUUAAAAAUCUAACAACCAUGCUUCAUUCACAGGCUGUUAAAAAGAUAACAAAACACAAGUGGGCAGACCAGAUUUGGCCUGUAGGCUAUAGUCUGCUGACUCCUAUUCUUCAAGACGAACACAUAAAAUAUGAAAUCACUUGUCGCCCAAAUAGAGUCUUAAUUAAAAUAGAUGAGAAACCAGGGAAGCGGAGGAGAAAGACAUUUAAACAUUUUUCUUGUGAAGAGAUGAUGUCUUAG
Molecule: long non-coding RNA, 902 nt
Filed under: Felis catus (domestic cat)
Lineage: Eukaryota; Metazoa; Chordata; Mammalia; Carnivora; Felidae
Description: lncRNA (ENSFCAG00000041398.2)
Source: RNAcentral